UACGUAGGGAGCAAGCGUUGUCCGGAAUUAUUGGGCGUAAAGCGCGCGUAGGCGGUUACUCAAGUCGGAUGUGAAAGCCCUCGGCUUAACUGAGGAAGUGCACCCGAAACUGAGUAGCUAGAGUACUAAAGAGGGUCGCGGAAUUCCCGGUGUAGAGGUGAAAUUCGUAGAUAUCGGGAGGAACACCGGUGGCGAAGGCGGCGACCUGGGUAGAUACUGACGCUGAGGCGCGAAAGCGUGGGGAGCAAACAGG
RNAcentral lists this ribosomal RNA (253 nucleotides) under uncultured bacterium. Its description in RNAcentral is "partial 16S ribosomal RNA". It matches the Rfam family "Bacterial small subunit ribosomal RNA", at positions 524 to 776 of the family's 1533-position model. The record is from RNAcentral.